Molecule: long non-coding RNA, 224 nt
Filed under: Elaeis guineensis (African oil palm)
Lineage: Eukaryota; Viridiplantae; Streptophyta; Magnoliopsida; Arecales; Arecaceae
Description: long non-coding RNA (EGUI_LNC081640)
Source: RNAcentral
GGUUAUCACAAAACUUAGGGAUGUCCGACCUAUGUCAAGAGACAGACGGCGGAUAAGCUAGAGGAUAGAUCUAUUAUAGCUCGCUUUAUAGAGUAUCCAAAAGAAUCUAUGGGAUAUUACUUCUACUUUUUAUAAGAUCAUAAUGUAAUUGUGAGUCGAAAUGCCGUAUUCCUAGAAAAAUAGUUUAUCCAGGAUGGCGGUAGUGGGAGGUUAGUGGAGCUCAA